UACGGAGGGGGCUAGCGUUGUUCGGAAUUUCUGGGCGUAAAGCGCACGUAGGCGGCUUUGUAAGUUAGAGGUGAAAGCCCGGGGCUCAACUCCGGAAUUGCCUUUAAGACUGCAUCGCUAGAAUUGUGGAGAGGUAAGUGGAAUUCCGAGUGUAGAGGUGAAAUUCGUAGAUAUUCGGAAGAACACCAGUGGCGAAGGCGACUUACUGGACACAUAUUGACGCUGAGGUGCGAAAGCGUGGGGAGCAAACAGG
Molecule: ribosomal RNA, 253 nt
Filed under: uncultured bacterium
Lineage: Bacteria
Description: partial 16S ribosomal RNA
Rfam family: Bacterial small subunit ribosomal RNA
Source: RNAcentral